GAACCUGAAACCGUGUACGUACAAGCAGUGGGAGCACCUUCGGGUGUGACUGCGUACCUUUUGUAUAAUGGGUCAGCGACUUAUAUUCUGUAGCAAGGUUAACCGUAUAGGGGAGCCGCAGGGAAACCGAGUCUUAACUGGGCGUUAAGUUGCAGGGUAUAGACCCGAAACCCGGUGAUCUAGCCAUGGGCAGGUUGAAGGUUGGGUAACACUAACUGGAGGACCGAACCGACUAAUGUUGAAAAAUUAGCGGAUGACUUGUGGCUGGGGGUGAAAGGCCAAUCAAACCGGGAGAUAGCUGGUUCUCCCCGAAAGCUAUUUAGGUAGCGCCUCGUGAACUCAUCUUCGGGGGUAGAGCACUGUUUCGGCUAGGGGGUCAUCCCGACUUACCAACCCGAUGCAAACUACGAAUACCGAAGAAUGUUAUCACGGGAGACACACGGCGGGUGCUAACGUCCGUCGUGAAGAGGGAAACAACCCAGACCGCCAGCUAAGGUCCCAAAGUCAUGGUUAAGUGGGAAACGAUGUGGGAAGGCACAGACAGCCAGGAUGUUGGCUUAGAAGCAGCCAUCAUUUAAAGAAAGCGUAAUAGCUCACUGGUCGAGUCGGCCUGCGCGGAAGAUGUAACGGGGCUAAACCAUGCACCGAAGCUGCGGCAGCGACACUAUGUGUUGUUGGGUAGGGGAGCG
Molecule: ribosomal RNA, 689 nt
Filed under: Klebsiella pneumoniae
Lineage: Bacteria; Pseudomonadati; Pseudomonadota; Gammaproteobacteria; Enterobacterales; Enterobacteriaceae
Description: partial 23S ribosomal RNA
Rfam family: Bacterial large subunit ribosomal RNA
Source: RNAcentral